RNAcentral lists this ribosomal RNA (233 nucleotides) under uncultured bacterium. Its description in RNAcentral is "partial 16S ribosomal RNA". It matches the Rfam family "Bacterial small subunit ribosomal RNA", at positions 30 to 239 of the family's 1533-position model. The record is from RNAcentral.
AUUGAACGCUGGCGGCAUGCCUUACACAUGCAAGUCGAACGGCAGCACGGGGGCAACCCUGGUGGCGAGUGGCGAACGGGUGAGUAAUGCAUCGGAACGUGCCCAGUAGUGGGGGAUAACUAGUCGAAAGAUUAGCUAAUACCGCAUACGACCUACGGGUGAAAGCGGGGGAUGCUAGCACUUAAUGUUUUGGGAUGGCUACUUGUGGCCGCCUCGGGACAGUCUCAGGUGAG